AUUGAACGCUGGCGGCAUGCCUUACACAUGCAAGUCGAACGGCAGCACGGGUGCUUGCACCUGGUGGCGAGUGGCGAACGGGUGAGUAAUACAUCGGAACAUGUCCUGUAGUUGGGGAAAGCCCGGCGAAAGCCGGAUUAAUACCGCAUACGAACUACGUAUGAAAGCGGGGGACCUUCGGGCCUCGCGCGAUAGGGUUGGCCGAUGGCUGAUUAGAUAGUGGGUGGGGUAAAGUCCUACCAAGGCGACGAUCAGUAGCUGGUCUGAGAGGACGACCAGCCACACUGGGACUGGGACACGGCCCAGACUCCUACGGGAGGCAGCAGUGGGGAAUUUUGGACAAUGGGCGAAAGCCUGAUCCAGCAAUGCCGCGUGUGUGAAGAAGGCCUUCGGGUUGUAAAGCACUUUUGUCCGGAAAGAAAUCCUUGGCCCUAAUACGGUCGGGGGAUGACGGUACCGGAAGAAUAAGCACCGGCUAACUACGUG
Molecule: ribosomal RNA, 486 nt
Filed under: uncultured bacterium
Lineage: Bacteria
Description: partial 16S ribosomal RNA
Rfam family: Bacterial small subunit ribosomal RNA
Source: RNAcentral